UUGUGCAUCCAACAAUUUGAAAAUUAAAUCUCUCGUUUCUAUAUAAGUUUUGAAAUGAAUAAAACAUUUCAACCACAUUUAUAUGUUAUUCCUAUCACCCAUGCUGACUCAUGAAACAAGCUCUUUAUCUGUAUAAACCUCGAAUAUAUAGCGCACAAUCAUGCUCAAUACUUUAUCACGUUGCGGAAGUUUCGAAUAAAAGCUCGUGCGUAACCAAUCAGGAUAUGAUUUCAACCGCAAAUUAACAGUGACAAAACGGAAAGGAGAACGGGAAACCACACCGAUGGGACCUAAGUUGUACAUAUAUACAUAAAUGCUGCUAUACUUAAUUAUAGAAACCAGUCGUUAUUUGUACUUUGCAUUUUGAUAUUGUAAGCGUAUAUUAAAGAAGAAAAAAACAAUCUAACGCCAGUUUAUUUAAUCUUGUUCAACGUCUAUUUAAUUUGGAAUUUGAAAGAGUUUGAAAGAUUGGAUAGAGUGCUUGUAAUAAUGGCACCAGCACGUUUAUUGCUAUUGAUUCUCGUGUCGAUAAUGUUAAUAUUCGCAUGUGAAGGACGGCCGUUAACUUUUCCUAAUAGAAACCGAGUACAGACGAAAUGUCCACCAGGCUACAGGCCCGUUCGUAAUGGAUGCAGAAAAAUUUGGACAUUUGACAUUUAUUAAAAUUUAUAAUUUACGUGUCAUAUCGCUUCUUGCAUGAGAAUAAUACUACCAGCAACAUCGCGGGAUAAACAUUUGCCAUGCACAGAUGUCAUGUGCAUAAUAAUUAAUAAUUACAUCAAAUUAAAUUUUUUAUUAUAAUUUACAUUUUAUUGCUUUGAAUGACGAUUUAAAAUGCGUAUAUAUAUAUUCUCUGUAUAUAUUAAUAGUACCACGCAUUGGAAAUAAUUACUUUAAGGAAAAUUAAACACUUACCGUCUGUUAUAAGUCCACAUUAUAUACAUUUCUAAUUUGUAUAUACCAUGUAAAUGGUAUAUGGAGUAUUAUUUUAAUAAACAAAAUAAUAUUAAAGAAA
Molecule: non-coding RNA, 1015 nt
Organism: Nylanderia fulva
Lineage: Eukaryota; Metazoa; Arthropoda; Insecta; Hymenoptera; Formicidae
Source: RefSeq, a predicted model, not a curated record